Molecule: ribosomal RNA, 801 nt
Filed under: uncultured Actinomycetes bacterium
Lineage: Bacteria; Bacillati; Actinomycetota; Actinomycetes
Description: bacterial SSU rRNA
Rfam family: Bacterial small subunit ribosomal RNA
Source: RNAcentral
UCCGGAUUUAUUGGGCGUAAAGGGCUCGUAGGUGGUUGAUCGCGUCGGAAGUGUAAUCUUGGGGCUUAACCCUGAGCGUGCUUUCGAUACGGGUUGUCUUGAGGAAGGUAGGGGAGAAUGGAAUUCCUGGUGGAGCGGUGGAAUGCGCAGAUAUCAGGAGGAACACCAGUGGCGAAGGCGGUUCUCUGGGCCUUUCCUGACGCUGAGGAGCGAAAGCGUGGGGAGCGAACAGGCUUAGAUACCCUGGUAGUCCACGCUGUAAACGGUGGGUACUAGGUGUGGGGUCCAUUCCACGGGUUCCGCGCCGUAGCUAACGCUUUAAGUACCCCGCCUGGGGAGUACGGCCGCAAGGCUAAAACUCAAAGGAAUUGACGGGGCCCCGCACAAGCGGCGGAGCAUGCGGAUUAAUUCGAUGCAACGCGUAGAACCUUACCUGGGUUUGACAUGGAUCGGGAGUGCUCAGAGAUGGGUGUGCCUCUUUUGGGGUCGGUUCACAGGUGGUGCAUGGCUGUCGUCAGCUCGUGUCGUGAGAUGUUGGGUUAAGUCCCGCAACGAGCGCAACCCUUGUUCACUGCUGCCAGCACGUUAUGGUGGGGACUCAGUGGAGACCGCCGGGGUCAACUCGGAGGAAGGUGGGGAUGACGUCAAGUCAUCAUGCCCCUUAUGUCCAGGGCUUCACGCAUGCUACAAUGGCUGGUACAGAGAGUGGCGAGCCUGUGAGGGUGAGCGAAUCUCGGAAAGCCGGUCUCAGUUCGGAUUGGGGUCUGCAACUCGACCUCAUGAAGUCGGAGUCGCUAGUAA